CGCGUGUUUCGGCGCCGUAGAGGCGGGCGCGGCGGCGGGCGCGGAGGAUGCGGAGGGCUACGCCUGCGCUUAGGUGGGUGAGGACGGGUAGAGUGAGCAGAAAAGGUUCGAGGGCGGGGGACUGAUAGAGGGGUCGCGUGAGUAGGAGGUAGGGUUCAGCGGCUGUAAUGGAGUUGGUCAUGAGGGGGAUUAGAGAGGUGUUUGUUAGGUGGAGGGUUAGGAAGAAUGUGGGCGCGUAGGUCGAGGUUCUCUGAAGGAUGGACACUGAUAAGUUUUUUUUACGGUUAGAUAGGAUUCUUUUUCUUUCUUCCCCCCACAAGCUCCAGGCAACUAUAGCAAAGGGUAUACGUACGCCAGUACUCCCAACCCUUCCCGCUUAGCCCUACAUGUCGAAUGGGGUCAUGUCGAUGUGCAUUCUCUCCUUCAUACCUUCCUUCACCAGCGGCUUUUCCGCUGGCGGUGGAGGCGUUCGGCAGGUUUCCGCCCUGUUCCAAGUCUAGUGUCCAGUCGAGAGGUGACGGCUCGAGCUGUUGAAGCGAAUCUGUCCCCGAAUCUUCAGAUAUUGCAUAGCUAUCCGCACCACGUCGUCGCCCUGAUGCUGCGCGGUAUGGUCGGUCCAUCGAGCGUUUGCUUGGUGUACAAUGUUAUGACAUUGGCUGUGUAGAGAUAUCCGUGGGAGAAGUACGGGAAAUGAGGUGUAUCUAUAGACUUCUCUAUACAGGCAAAGAAGGCAACGUGCAUCUAAUAGAAUAAUCGAGUAUCGUUGAGCCGUUGAAGCAAGUUGAACCCGGAAGCAGCUGCGGCUUCACCUGUUUUCACCGCCUUUGCUGGUCUGCCGGCAGAAUAUACUUGAUAGCUUCAAGCUCUACAGCGAAGGAAGGACUCAAAGAAUCCCAAAGAACACUGCGUCGUGCUAUAUAUUUAUAUAAACCAUGCCACCCUACCCUCCACAACGCCAAACAGCCCGAUAAUUAUCAAAUAAGGAAAACAAACAAAGGCAACAAUGCCACCAGUUCGUGUCCCCUACCUAACCCCCUCUUAAAAAUUAGAAAUAAAAAUAAAAAAAACCCCAGCUAACCAGCCCCAACCCUUCCCAAACGCACACAAGAAACAGCGCAGCUUCACCAACCCAUCCCCCAAAACGGAAUCCGCCCGCAACGCCCUGACCUCCUUCACCUGCACGCUCUGCAGCAAAUCCUACUCGCGCCACCCGGAAUAUGAAGCGCACAUCGGCUCCUACGACCACC
Molecule: small RNA, 1247 nt
Filed under: Histoplasma capsulatum var. duboisii H88
Lineage: Eukaryota; Fungi; Ascomycota; Eurotiomycetes; Onygenales; Ajellomycetaceae
Description: Histoplasma capsulatum H88 hypothetical RNA
Source: RNAcentral